AUUGAACGCUGGCGGCAGGCCUAACACAUGCAAGUCGAACGAGUGGCGGACGGGUUAGUAAUGUCUGGGAAACUGCCUGAUGGAGGGGGAUAACUCCUGGAAACGGUAGCUAAUACCGCAUACCAUACGAUGUGCCCAGAUGGGAGUAGCUAGUUGGUGGGGUAACGGCUGACAAAGGCGACGAUCCCUAGCUCGUCGUAGAGGAUGACCAGCCACACGGGAACUGAGACACGGUCCAGACUCCGACGGGAGGCAGCAGGGGGGAAUAUUGCACAAUGGGCGAAAGCCUGAUGCAGCAAUGCCGCGUGUAUGAAGAAGGCCUUCGGGUUGUAAAGUACUUUCAGCGGGGAAGCGUUACCCGAAGAAGAAGCAACGGCUAACUCCGUGCCAGCAGCCGCGGGAAUAC
RNAcentral lists this ribosomal RNA (406 nucleotides) under uncultured bacterium. RNAcentral's name for it is "partial 16S ribosomal RNA". It matches the Rfam family "Bacterial small subunit ribosomal RNA", at positions 29 to 526 of the family's 1533-position model. The record is from RNAcentral.